Molecule: ribosomal RNA, 440 nt
Filed under: uncultured Actinomycetes bacterium
Lineage: Bacteria; Bacillati; Actinomycetota; Actinomycetes
Description: bacterial SSU rRNA
Rfam family: Bacterial small subunit ribosomal RNA
Source: RNAcentral
GGCCCCGCACAAGCGGCGGAGCAUGCGGAUUAAUUCGAUGCAACGCGAAGAACCUUACCUGGGUUUGAAAUAUGCCGGAAACACCUAGAGAUAGGUGCCCCUUUUUGGUCGGUAUACAGGUGGUGCAUGGCUGUCGUCAGCUCGUGUCGUGAGAUGUUGGGUUAAGUCCCGCAACGAGCGCAACCCUCGUCCUAUGUUGCCAGCGGGUUAUGCCGGGAACUCAUGGGAGACUGCCGGGGUCAACUCGGAGGAAGGUGGGGAUGACGUCAAGUCAUCAUGCCCCUUACGUCCAGGGCUUCACGCAUGCUACAAUGCCGGUACAAAGAGCUGCCAACCCGCAAGGGUGAGCGAAUCUCAAAAAGCCGGUCUCAGUUCGGAUUGGGGUCUGCAACUCGACCCCAUGAAGUCGGAGUCGCUAGUAAUCGCAGAUCAGAAUGCUG